RNAcentral lists this non-coding RNA (29 nucleotides) under Rattus norvegicus (Norway rat). Lineage: Eukaryota; Metazoa; Chordata; Mammalia; Rodentia; Muridae. The record is from RNAcentral.
UCAUAGGGAUUUGGGAACUGCUUCUAGUC